RNAcentral lists this ribosomal RNA (789 nucleotides) under uncultured Staphylococcus sp. Its description in RNAcentral is "bacterial SSU rRNA". It matches the Rfam family "Bacterial small subunit ribosomal RNA", at positions 129 to 904 of the family's 1533-position model. The record is from RNAcentral. Lineage: Bacteria; Bacillati; Bacillota; Bacilli; Caryophanales; Staphylococcaceae.
CCUAUAAGACUGGGAUAACUUCGGGAAACCGGAGCUAAUGCCGGAUAACAUAUAGAACCGCAUGGUUCUAUAGUGAAAGAUGGUUUUGCUAUCACUUAUAGAUGGACCCGCGCCGUAUUAGCUAGUUGGUAAGGUAAUGGCUUACCAAGGCGACGAUACGUAGCCGACCUGAGAGGGUGAUCGGCCACACUGGAACUGAGACACGGUCCAGACUCCUACGGGAGGCAGCAGUAGGGAAUCUUCCGCAAUGGGCGAAAGCCUGACGGAGCAACGCCGCGUGAGUGAUGAAGGUUUUCGGAUCGUAAAACUCUGUUAUUAGGGAAGAACAAAUGCGUAAGUAACUGUGCGCAUCUUGACGGUACCUAAUCAGAAAGCCACGGCUAACUACGUGCCAGCAGCCGCGGUAAUACGUAGGUGGCAAGCGUUAUCCGGAAUUAUUGGGCGUAAAGCGCGCGUAGGCGGUUUCUUAAGUCUGAUGUGAAAGCCCACGGCUCUACCGUGGAGGGUCAUUGGAAACUGGGAAACUUGAGUGCAGAAGAGGAAAGUGGAAUUCCAUGUGUAGCGGUGAAAUGCGCAGAGAUAUGGAGGAACACCAGUGGCGAAGGCGACUUUCUGGUCUGUAACUGACGCUGAUGUGCGAAAGCGUGGGGAUCAAACAGGAUUAGGUACCCUGGUAGUCCACGCCGUAAACGAUGAGUGCUAAGUGUUAGGGGGUUUCCGCCCCUUAGUGCUGCAGCUAACGCAUUAAGCACUCCGCCUGGGGAGUACGACCGCAAGGUUGAAACUCAA